UAUGACCAGGGGCAUACCAAAGCAAAAUCAAUUUAAAAAACAUUACGGAAAUAAGCAAGAGAUGCUUCCUCAGCAGAACAAGAACCAAACAGUUAAAAGGAUUUCCCCCCAAAGAACAGGUGGCUUUCACUGGUAGACAUAAGUUAUUAUCCAUGUAAAUCAAAGGUUAUUUGGUAGUGAAAGCCAAACCACAGAAUUCAGCAGUUUAUAUCUACCGAAACUACAUACACUGAACCAAUUGUUUCAUAGGUGUUUAAAUUUUAAUUUAGGCUUAGAAGCAGUCAGUCAAUCACUAUGUUACACGAAAGAACUUGAAACCACCCCUAGGGCACAUAACUUCUUGGCUGGAUGUAUGUAAGUUUAAGCCAUGGUGGUUUUUAGUGAGACAAACUGUGUCAAACAUAAUUUUAUAUUAGGACUAGACUUGGUAGAUGCAUUGCUUCUGAUAUACAAAGAGUUUAUUAAAAUGUUUGAUAUGGUAACAGAGAAGAUUACUGAUUAAGAAUAUACUCUGGAAAAAGAGUUUAUUAUUUGCACUUGAACAGAAAGCUAACUGUAGGACGGAAUUCAGAGAGUUGUGAUUUAAAAGCUCUUUUUCUGGUUGAACCAGUUGGGCCAGUGUUUAAAGUGGAAUUUCUCAGGGCGCUGCUGUUAAAUUACUUUUUGUUAAUUUAUUUGUUGUUGACCUUGAUGUUUGCAUUGGAAACAUUGCCUCUGUGUUUGUAGAUAACACUAAUAUACAGUAUAUGUAUGUGUCGCUAACAUAAAAUGUGAUUUCCUGCAGUCCUGUGUGCUACUGAGAAAAGAGGCACACAGUUACACAGCAGAAAAACUCUUUAGAACACAAUAAUGUUAUCUGUUCUAUUUAACCUGUGCCCUAUAGCCUUUUUUCAAUUUCCACUAUUGCUACACAAACAGCUUGUUUAUAUGAACUAUAGUAGUGUUUCUGAAGGGAACAGAUCAGUUUUACCAGUGCAGGGCAACAGUACAUGAUAUUUUCAUUACUUUAAAACACUUUCAUUUUUUGGUGUUACUGUUCCUUUAAGCGACUCCAUGUUUGGUUCUUGUGAGGUAGAUCAUUGGAUUACUAGUGUACAAAUAAUUCCCCUGCAUAGAGACUUCAACUCAGGUGUCAGAAAUGUAUUUGCCAUGCCAUUGACAUCAAAGGAUGUGCCAUCAUUGCACCCGCCCACAACUGGAAGUGACAUCAUUGCACAUGCACACAUUAUCUGAUGUCAAUGAAUGCUUGCUGCUCAUUUGCAUGCAGCUUGGUUUUAUACACACCAUGGGAGCGAUUUAUACCAUUCGUAAUUUUUUUGGGUGUCCCAAUGGAAAUUUAUAGCACACAGAAUCAUGUAUUAGACUGAUUAUUUGUUAUAAUUUGUUAUUUAUGAAGUGUAAAAACCAUGAAAAACUCUAUUACAAAAUGCAGCCAUAAAAAAGUUGGCGAGGUCAUGUAGAAGUCAAUGGGAGCUGUCCUUUUCCAGUUGUAAAACCUUUCUUUACUUCUAAAACUUUCUACAAAGAUUAGGAUUCCAAGGUUUUCGUAUUCUUAUUCAGAUUCGUUCUGUGUUUUUAUUUGUUUGUGCUUUUUAUAUUCAGAUCUUUUAACAGGGUUGUUCACUUUUCAACACAGUUCAGUUGCUAUCAGAUAGUUCCCCAGAAAUAAUUACUUUUUUCAGUUACCAUUCUAUUUGUGGCAGUUUUUCUAAUAUUGAAGUGUCUUUAAUCAGCCCUAUAUUGCCCACCUCAAUGGGGGCAUAUGGAAUCUCUAGGUGUAUGGCCACUUUAAGGGGCAGUGAUACAUACAGUGAGGGUAGUAAGAUGGUUCUAAUAUCUACAGUACAUAUCUCACAUGCAAAAUCUUGCCAAAUACGACAUCAGUUAUUUGAAUUGGCACAAGAUUUGAACAACUUUUAAAAUUAAGGAAUGUGGUUCCUUCACUUCAGAUAAAGGCACUUGCAAAUAUUGUUUCUUUUGAAGUAGGCUUUCUUUGAAUUGUUUCCAAACAACAAAGCACCGAUGACCUUGACUGAUAAGCAGGACAUUCAGAAAUAACAUGCAUAUGAAUAGUCUUUGGACGCAGUCUGAAGGGCAGUAGCAUGGAAGUGGCUGCAGAACAGCUGAGUGCUAGUUUAUGGACUGAGUUUGCACAGGUCGGCGGAAAUCCAUACAGAGUCCAUGCAGAAAUAUACAUUUAAUUUCCCAGAGAGACAAUCUGCCACAUCACUGGCAUGAGAAAUGCUGCUUAAUCCUCAGAAGAAUUGUUUUUCUCAUUACUGUGCACACAGUCAUCUGUAACGCAGCUUCCUGUGUCCUUUCCUGUGUUGGAGUGUGGGAAAUCUGUGUUGUAUUGUGGAUUUCCACCGUUUUACCCGUCACCAGAAUCCUUGAACUCUUUCAGUGCUAGCGAACAAUCAAUGGUUUUCCCUACAUUUCCAGGUUUCCUUUUGAUUUGUGUCGCUAUGCUUGUUUACUCAAACAACACGGACAGUGAAAUUAGUUAAAUCCAGUGAAUCAUGGAGAGAAUAAUAACACAAUCUCUCCAAAUAGCUGGGAAACAUGUUCCAUAAUUACAUAUUCAUUGAUAGAUGAUUUCCCAGAAACAGGUCCCCCAAUUCCUGGUAAGUACAAGAUUACACAUAUUAAAUGGGUACUGUCAUCCCUAAAUGUCCAUAGUAUAUCCAGCAAUAUAAUGGUAUAAUAUUUCAUCCACUUAUAAUUAGAUUUGAGUCUUUUCUGUUAGUAAAUAAAUCAAGUUUUUUAUAAA
This is a long non-coding RNA of Xenopus laevis (African clawed frog), 2770 nucleotides long. RefSeq lists it as uncharacterized. The record is from RefSeq and is a predicted model, not a curated record. The transcript is spliced from 2 exons. Lineage: Eukaryota; Metazoa; Chordata; Amphibia; Anura; Pipidae.